This 467-nucleotide ribosomal RNA is filed under the name uncultured bacterium. Its description in RNAcentral is "partial 16S ribosomal RNA". It matches the Rfam family "Bacterial small subunit ribosomal RNA", at positions 28 to 506 of the family's 1533-position model. The record is from RNAcentral.
GACGAACGCUGGCGGCGUGCUUAACACAUGCAAGUCGAACGGAACGGCCCUGCCUUUGUUGUUCGCUCGGGUGUCGAACGGGUGUGUGACACGUGCGUAACCUUCCCUUGUCGUUGGGCUACCUUCUGGAAACUGGGGGUAAUACCGGACAGGAGCUCCUGCUGCAUGGUGGGGGUUGGUAAGUUGCGGCGGUGGGGGAUGGACUCGCGGCUUAUCAGCUUGUUGGUGGGGUAGUGCCUUACCAAGGCUUUGACGGGUAGCCGGCCUGAGAGGGUGAGCGGCCACAUUGGGACGGGGAUGCGGCCCAGACUCGUACGGGAGGCAGCAGUGGAGAAGAGUGCACAAUGGGCGGAAGGCAGAUGCAGCACCGCGGCGUGCGGGAUGACGGCCUUCGGGUCGUAAAGCGCUUUCGCCUGUGACGAGGCGUGAGUGACGGUAAUGGGUAAAGAAGCACCGGCGAACUACGU